AGCACAUCGGGUCCCAUGGCUGUUGAACCAGUCAUCUGUAUAGCGGGGGUAGGGGUAGGGAUCAUUACUGCUGAAAUCGUAGCUAGCUUGGGCAUUCUGCAAAACACGAAGUUCAGUGAAUGUGCAGGAAAGCAGACAUGGUAGGUAAAGCAGGACACAUAUAUCCACAGAAAAUCUCAUUAGGUAUCGGGUUCUUUUUUCUCCCCUGGAAAAGAAAAUGUCAUUCCUUCUCUGUGACAUUCCGCGAGAGCCCCG
RNAcentral lists this long non-coding RNA (255 nucleotides) under Gallus gallus (chicken). The record is from RNAcentral. Lineage: Eukaryota; Metazoa; Chordata; Aves; Galliformes; Phasianidae.